UUAAGUUCAGCGGGUAUUCCUACCUGAUCCGAGGUCAACCUUGAGAAGGGGGUGUUUCACGGCAAGAACCCGCUGCACGUCCAAAGCGAGAUUGUAUUACUACGCUCGGUGUGACAGCGAGCCCGCCACUGGUUUUCAGGGCCUGCGACAGCCGCAGGUCUCCAACACAAGCCCGGGGGCUUGAUGGUUGAAAUGACGCU
RNAcentral lists this unclassified non-coding RNA (200 nucleotides) under Lasiosphaeriaceae sp. RNAcentral's name for it is "partial internal transcribed spacer 2". The record is from RNAcentral. Lineage: Eukaryota; Fungi; Ascomycota; Sordariomycetes; Sordariales; Lasiosphaeriaceae.